CCUACGGGGGGCAGCAGUGGGGAAUAUUGGACAAUGGGCGAAAGCCUGAUCCAGCCAUGCCGCGUGUGUGAAGAAGGCCUUCGGGUUGUAAAGCACUUUCAGUGGGGAAGAAAGCCUUGGGGCUAAUACCCUCGAGGAAGGACAUCACCCACAGAAGAAGCACCGGCUAACUCCGUGCCAGCAGCCGCGGUAAUACGGAGGGUGCGAGCGUUAAUCGGAAUUACUGGGCGUAAAGCGCGCGUAGGCGGUCUGAUAAGCCGGUUGUGAAAGCCCCGGGCUCAACCUGGGAACGGCAGCCGGAACUGUCAGGCUAGAGUGCAGGAGAGGAAGGUAGAAUUCCCGGUGUAGCGGUGAAAUGCGUAGAGAUCGGGAGGAAUACCAGUGGCGAAGGCGGCCUUCUGGACUGACACUGACGCUGAGGUGCGAAAGCGUGGGUAGCAAACAGGAUUAGAUACCCCGGUAGUC
Molecule: ribosomal RNA, 465 nt
Filed under: Vreelandella stevensii
Lineage: Bacteria; Pseudomonadati; Pseudomonadota; Gammaproteobacteria; Oceanospirillales; Halomonadaceae
Description: partial 16S ribosomal RNA
Rfam family: Bacterial small subunit ribosomal RNA
Source: RNAcentral